This 301-nucleotide ribosomal RNA is filed under the name uncultured bacterium. RNAcentral's name for it is "partial 16S ribosomal RNA". It matches the Rfam family "Bacterial small subunit ribosomal RNA", at positions 509 to 809 of the family's 1533-position model. The record is from RNAcentral.
CAGUAGCCGCGGUAAUACGGAGGGUGCAAGCGUUAAUCGGAAUUACUGGGCGUAAAGCGCACGCAGGCGGUCUGACAAGUCAGAUGUGAAAUCCCCGGGCUUAACCUGGGAACUGCAUUUGAAACUGUCAGGCUGGAGUCUUGUAGAGGGGGGUAGAAUUCCAGGUGUAGCGGUGAAAUGCGUAGAGAUCUGGAGGAAUACCGGUGGCGAAAGCGGCCCCCUGGACAAAGACUGACGCUCAGGUGCGAAAGCGUGGGGAGCAAACAGGAUUAGAUACCCCUGUAGUCCCUGUCUCUUAUAA